GUGCGCAGCAGCCGCGGUACUACCGGCAGCACGAGUGAUGGCCGAUAUUAUUGGGCCUAAAGCGUCCGUAGCCGGCCGAACAAGUCCGUUGGGAAAUCGACGCGCUCAACGCGUCGGCGUCCGGCGGAAACUGUUCGGCUUGGGGCCGGAGGACCGAGGGGUACGUCCGGGGUAGGAGUGAAAUCCUGUAAUCCUGGACGGACCGCCGGUGGCGAAAGCGCCUCGGGAAGACGGACCCGACAGUGAGGGACGAAAGCUGGGAUCUCGAACCGGAUUAGAAACCCCUGUAGUCC
This 293-nucleotide ribosomal RNA is filed under the name uncultured bacterium. RNAcentral describes it as "partial 16S ribosomal RNA". It matches the Rfam family "Archaeal small subunit ribosomal RNA", at positions 455 to 747 of the family's 1478-position model. The record is from RNAcentral.